GGUUAAGCGACUAAGCGUACACGGUGGAUGCCCUGGCAGUCAGAGGCGAUGAAGGACGUGCUAAUCUGCGAAAAGCGCCGGCGAGGUGAUAUGAACCUUUGACCCGUCGAUGUCCGAAUGGGGAAACCCAGUGUGUUCCGACACACUAUCGUUAACUGAAUACAUAGGUUAACGAGGCGAACCGGGGGAACUGAAACAUCUAAGU
This 205-nucleotide ribosomal RNA is filed under the name Enterobacter hormaechei. RNAcentral's name for it is "partial 23S ribosomal RNA". It matches the Rfam family "Bacterial large subunit ribosomal RNA", at positions 1 to 207 of the family's 2925-position model. The record is from RNAcentral. RNAcentral also lists the same sequence under 1 other name. Lineage: Bacteria; Pseudomonadati; Pseudomonadota; Gammaproteobacteria; Enterobacterales; Enterobacteriaceae.